Molecule: non-coding RNA, 124 nt
Organism: Triticum aestivum (bread wheat)
Lineage: Eukaryota; Viridiplantae; Streptophyta; Magnoliopsida; Poales; Poaceae
Source: Rfam
UUAAUACUCCCUCCCUCUGGAAAUACUUGUCCUAGAAAUGGAUGUAUCUAGACUUAUUUUAGUUAUAAAUACAUCCAAUUUAUCCAUUUCGAGAACAAAUAUUUCCGGGAGGAGGGAGUGCCUA